UGCCCCCCCGAGGCCCCUAGUCUCCGCCCACAGGGCCCCUUCCCCCCCAGAGACCCAGUCCUGGUUCCGGAUGCAUUUGCUGCGCAGGGGGUGUUGGGAAGAGAGCCAGGCAGGAUUCAUCCCCCAGCAGCUCCUUGCGGAGCCUGGCUGGGGUCCCCCAUCGCGCUCGGAGCAAUACGGAGAUGUAAGUCGUCUGGAGGAGCACUCCACAGACUGAUUUCAUACCUGGAGCUCCUGACAGCCAGCUUUGGGCCCGGUGUGCAGAUUAGCUUUAUGCAAGUACCUCGGUCCCCAGAGCAGUGGAAGGAUCAAGUCUAUGAUCGGUGCCAGCCAAAGGGGUGCAGGGAAACUGAGGCCAGCAGGGACCAGGCCAGUCUACCAUGCUGGAUGGCACAGACCAGGGAACUGCGCGGAGUGAAUCCCCCAGUUGAACUAGAGCAGAGCUUUGUAAUGAACAGCCCGAGGGGAUUUGAAAAUGCCUCGGGAGCUCCCUCAGCAGAGACCACGCCUCAGCACAGUGGCAAAGCAACUUGCCUAGACUGGCUGGAAAGAAGGGUAAUUUGAGGAAUAAUCCUUCACUUGUCUCUGGAUCCCAAAGCACUGUAGGGACAGACGUCAGGCCUCGCCAGUGCUGCGGUGCGGCGAGAGGGGAAACCGAGGCACUAAGAGAUGAUGAUCACGUGUAAUCUAAGCUGAAAUAAAACAAUUUGAAUUGAAAACUCCAAGGGUUGCACUACCUGGCCUCACCCAAACACCGGAAAGGAAAUGUCAUCCAACCUGCUCGUGGGAAGUACAGCAUUUUUAGGAUGGAAAAACUAGUCCCUCAGGCAACCGCUGAGCAGGUCCUCCUGGAAGAGGCUUGGAGCUGGGGCUGCGGAUUCUCUCCGAAGCACAGCCCCAGGGCUAGAUUUUUUGGUGCCUACCUGCUCUUCUAGGAAACGAGAUUCCCUUCCUCUGCAGCGCCCAGCCCACGCCCAGCAUCUCCUCGUCAGCGCCAGCCACCACGUGGGAGCAGGCCAUGCUGGCGAAGGCCCCGCGGUCCUGCAGCUGGAACUUCACCACGGGUGGCACGG
Molecule: long non-coding RNA, 1073 nt
Organism: Dermochelys coriacea (leatherback sea turtle)
Lineage: Eukaryota; Metazoa; Chordata; Testudines; Dermochelyidae
Exons: 6
Source: RefSeq, a predicted model, not a curated record